This 948-nucleotide long non-coding RNA is filed under the name Anser brachyrhynchus (Pink-footed goose). Its description in RNAcentral is "lncRNA (ENSABRG00000013295.1)". The record is from RNAcentral. Lineage: Eukaryota; Metazoa; Chordata; Aves; Anseriformes; Anatidae.
GGGUGGGUGAGGUGGCACCUGAACCUAGAAACUAGAAGAAAGGCCUCGUGCUGGUUCUGUGGUUUCCUGAGGGUUGUCACGUGCUUUUUGGCUCUCCUGCAGUCACAAAGGGCUAUUUAUCCCCAGUGCUAUGCUCCUGUGACACGUCUGUAAUUGUGCGAUAAUCUAAGCACCCUCACACAGAUUUACAGAGGCACUGCAUCAUAUUGUGUGGAUAUGCUCUCAGUCACAGGGAAUAAAGAAUGUUUCCCGAGAGCCCUUCUACCUGCUCGUGGCCUGAACAAUGGUCAACAAUUGCCAAGAAUACUGUGGACUUGAAGAUACAAAGUUCUCUUAAAUUCAAUCAACUUCCAGAGAAGAACUUCAGAAGAGAAAGUUACAGAAACAUUUUCCUCAAUAUUUCAACUCUUGAGGGAUUUCUCAUCCGAGGUUGGAAAGAAGUGAAAUUUCUUAAAAGAAAAGAAUCUGUUAAGUAUUGCUAAGCAGCUGUUCUGUGUAAAUAGACUGAGGAGACAAAAAUUUUAAAGUUCUAACUGGAGCAACCACAGAACUUCUUGGAGUCACCAGUUGCUAAUACAAGUCAUGCUUGUGCAUUCUGCUCUGUCACUUGAAUUUUAUUAUUACCUUCUACUCAUGCUGAGAAUGAAAACUUUUUCCUACUUUCAAAUAUUGGAAAAUGUGGAUUAAAUCUCUUCAUGCUUUGGAAUUUAUGACAUAAUAAUUGUUCCAAUUCUAGUAAAAUACACAAUAUUGGCUUUGAGGAAAAAGUAAUGAAGAUUGAGAAAACACCGUAUGGCUUUCCUGUAGCUGAUUUCUAGAGUGCAGGUGCUCACCCUCUGGUCCCAGUUGUGUGCUUGAGGAUUUGUUUCCAGUCCUACCUUUUCUGGGCAUUGUACUUGCACAGUUUUGCUCAACUUUGCACAAAAUUCUGGUACAACUGGCUUUUUC